GCUGGUGAGUUUGAUAUCAUUCAACUUGAUUUUGUAUUGUGUUAAGGGAUGGUUUGUCUAGCUUAGACUAUGAGAAUUAGUUACUAGUUAGUGCAAUAAGGCUAGAUCUUCCAAUUACAACAUAUAAUAGAAAUGAUUCAAAAUGCUUACUAAUGGCUUGUAUUUGGCUUGAUUCCAAGCCCCAUUAAGAUGAAUUAAAUCUAAGCACUAGUAUGUUCUUGGCUUUUAGGCCUGCAUCAAAUCAAAUCCAAGACUAAGUAAAUCCUAUUUCGAUCAAAAUAGGGUCAAUAAGGCUUUAUAAUAUAAAUAUCUAAAUAGUAUACAAGUUAAACAAUGCUCC
This 340-nucleotide long non-coding RNA is filed under the name Elaeis guineensis (African oil palm). RNAcentral's name for it is "long non-coding RNA (EGUI_LNC055680)". The record is from RNAcentral. Lineage: Eukaryota; Viridiplantae; Streptophyta; Magnoliopsida; Arecales; Arecaceae.